CAAAUGCUUGGUUUCAGCUUAAGUUUUUACGUUAUUAUUAAAAUUGUAUGAAAGCUAAAGUAAGAUUUAAAAUGACCAGAUUAUAUAUCUGAUUAGAAAAGUAGGAGAAUAGACAUAAUAAACCCUUAUAGUCUCAGCAUAAAAUAUUGUAAAUAGCAAAUAUAUUAAAGUAUGAUACAGUAAUAAUAAAAAAUCUGAUAAAUAUUUGUGCCAGCAUUCGCGGUUAUACUUUAAGAUUAAGUAAAAAAUUUAGGGGAAUAGUUAAAUGAAUAAUUAAAGAUUAUAUAUGGGUAAUAAAAGGUAAAAUUAGAAUAUUAUUUUGUAUGCAAAAAAGAUUAUAAUUGAAGCUAAAAAAAUUUAGUAAUAAACUAGGAUUAGAUACCCUAUUAUUCUAAAAUAAAUCAACCUAAGACUGAAUUAGUAAAAGAUAAAUACUUAAAAUUUAAAAAAUUUGGCGGCAAUUUAAUCUUUUCAGAGGAACCUGUUUUAGAAUCGAUAAACCACGAAAAAUCUUACUUGUUUUUGUAUAAACAGCUUGUAUACCAUCAUUACCAGAUAAUUCUUAGAAGAAAAAUUAUUAAAUAUAAUUAUUUAAAAAAAUUAGAUCAUGGUGCAGUUUAUAAACAAGAUAAAAUGGGUUACAAUAAAUUACUUUAUUGCGAAUUAACAAAGUAAUUUUGUUAUGAAGAGGGAUUUGAUUGUAUUUUGAGUUUAAUAAGCUGAUAAGAUAUAAGUUCUAAAUUGUGUACAUAUCGCCCGUCGCUUUCAUUUAUAAGUGAAAUAAGUCGUAACAUAGUAGAUGUACUGGAAAGUGUAUCUAGUGUAAA
This 827-nucleotide non-coding RNA is filed under the name Cyclograpsus granulosus. The record is from RNAcentral. Lineage: Eukaryota; Metazoa; Arthropoda; Malacostraca; Decapoda; Varunidae.